CUAAACCCUCGUACCUUUUGCAUCAUGAUUUAGCCAGUGAUUCUCAAGCAAAAAGAUUUUUAGUUUGUAGACCCGAAACUAAGGGAGCUACUCCAAGACAGCCUAAUAAUAGGGCACACCCGUCUCUGUUGCAAAAGAGUGGGACGAGCUUUGAGUAGAGGUGACAAACCUACCGAACUUAGUUAUAGCUGGUUGCCCAAGAAAUGAAUAGUAGUUCAGCCUCCCGGAUUCUCCCUAAGCCGUGAGAGUUAUUCAAAGGGGGUACAGCCCCUUUGAAACAAGACACAACUUUCCCAGGUGGGUAAAGAUCAUAAUAGCACAAGGUAAGUAACUCUCGUGGGCCCGAAAGCAGCCACCCCCUGAAGAAAGCGUCUAAGCUCGGAACAAUAAUCCUGAUCAUUUAAUCUUAUCCCCCUAAACUUAUUGGGCCGUCCCAUGCCUCCAUGGGAGCGACCAUGCUAAUAUGAGUAAUAAGAAAGGGCUUUCUCCCCGCACGCGUGUAAAUCGGAAUGGACUCCCCACCGAAUAUUAACGGCCCCAAACACAGAGGGCAGUGGACGAUAACAAGAAAAUCCCCCACCGUUAACCCAACACAGGUCUGCCCCUAGGGAAAAACUAAAAGGGGGAGAAGGAACUCGGCAAACAAGCCUCGCCUGUUUACCAAAAACAUCGCCUCUUGCAUGAAUAAGAGGUCCCGCCUGCCCUGUGACUAUAAGUUUAACGGCCGCGGUAUUUUGACCGCGCGAAGGUAGCGCAAUCACUUGUCUCUUAAAUGGAGACCUGUAUGAAUGGCACAACGAGGGCUUAGCUGUCUCCUCCCCUAAGUUAAUGAAAUUGAUCUCCCCGUGCAGAAGCGGGGAUAAACACAUAAGACGAGAAGACCCUAUGAAGCUUUAGACGUAAGGUAGCCCAAACUACAAUGACCCCCCAAUAAGGAGACAAACCAAAAGGGGCCCUACCCCGAUGUCUUUGGUUGGGGCGACCGCGGGGAAAGAAAAAACCCCCACGUGGAACGGGAGUACUCCUUAAACUCAGAGCCACAGCUCUAAGAAACAAAAUUUUUGACCUUAAGAUCCGGCAAUGCCGAUCAACGGACCGAGUUACUCUAGGGAUAACAGCGCAAUCCCCUUUUAGAGACCAUAUCAACAAGGGGGUUUACGACCUCGAUGUUGGAUCAGGACAUCCUAUUGGUGCAG
RNAcentral lists this ribosomal RNA (1196 nucleotides) under Pogonophryne barsukovi. Its description in RNAcentral is "partial 16S ribosomal RNA". It matches the Rfam family "Bacterial large subunit ribosomal RNA", at positions 591 to 2558 of the family's 2925-position model. Lineage: Eukaryota; Metazoa; Chordata; Actinopteri; Perciformes; Artedidraconidae. The record is from RNAcentral.